This is a non-coding RNA of Helianthus annuus (common sunflower), 46 nucleotides long. The record is from Rfam. Lineage: Eukaryota; Viridiplantae; Streptophyta; Magnoliopsida; Asterales; Asteraceae.
AAAAAGACUUUUUUGAAAGUCACCUAAAGUAUUUUUUUAAACAAAA